Long non-coding RNA from Xenia sp. Carnegie-2017, 583 nucleotides. RefSeq lists it as uncharacterized. The record is from RefSeq and is a predicted model, not a curated record. The transcript is spliced from 2 exons. Lineage: Eukaryota; Metazoa; Cnidaria; Anthozoa; Malacalcyonacea; Xeniidae.
UUGUCAGACUAUAAAUAUAGCCACAAUCUGAAUAAAUUUCAUCAAAUUCAUUACAGCAAAUUGAAACCGCUAAGCAGACAUGGUGACAAACACAAUGAGAUGGUCUGUUUUUUUUUCGCUCUUUUACUUGAUGUUUGUUUGUACAACCAGUGGAAAGCCCACCAGCAAAAUCACGAAUGAAGAGACACCUUGCUGGAACCAAGUGGAAGCACUCAAAGCGGAAUUUGGUGGAGAAACUCCCGCAGAUUUUACCUUUCCAAGGUGCGACAAGAAUGGCUAUUAUGUACGCAUCCAGUGUCGUGCAUUUCUUGGCUGUCAUUGUGUUGAUAAAUAUGGGCAAAGGACAACGCAAGUAUUCAAAGGAUGGUCAAGUGGUUGCAAAUAACUAAAAUUUCAAUUUUGUUUAACUGUUUAUCUAAAUCAUAAAAUAACUCAUUAAGAAUUUUUCAGAUUGACGUGUGGUAUUGGGUGAUAUAGCAAUAUUUGGUUGUAGUAGAAUAUUAUAUUGCAUGCUUCAAUAGUUGACGAAACUUUGAUUGCAAUUAGACAUGCAAAUUUAUUAUAAGAGUAUAAUACACCAGAA